RNAcentral lists this ribosomal RNA (723 nucleotides) under uncultured bacterium. RNAcentral's name for it is "bacterial SSU rRNA". It matches the Rfam family "Bacterial small subunit ribosomal RNA", at positions 122 to 859 of the family's 1533-position model. The record is from RNAcentral.
CACCCAACCCUGGCACUUGGAUUACCAACGGGAAACCCUUGCUUAUUCCCCCUAAAAUUCUUUUUCGGCCUUGUUAUUAAAUCAAAGAUUUAUUGGUCAAGGGACGGGGCUCGCGUUCGAUUAGGUAGUUUGUUAGGUAACGGCUUACCCAAGCCUACGAUCGGUAGCCGGACUGAGAGGUCGAUCGGCCACAUUGGGACUGAGAUACGGCCCAGACUCCUACGUGAGGCAGCAGUGGGGAAUAUUGGGCAAUGGACGCAAGUCUGACCCAGCGACGCCGCGUGAAGGACGAAGGCAUUCGUGUUGUAAACUUCUUUGGAGAGGGACGAAAUUGACGGUACCUCUCGAACAAGCCACGGCUAACUACGUGCCAGCAGCCGCGGUAAUACGUAGGUGGCAAGCGUUAUCCGGAAUUACUGGGUGUAAAGGGCGCGCAGGCGGCCUUGCAAGUCGGAUGUGAAAGAUCAAGGCUCAACCUUGACAGGUCAUCCGAAACUGUAAGACUUGAGUGUCAGAGGGGAAAGUGGAAUUCCUAGUGGAGCGGUAAAAUGCGCAGAUAUUAGGAGGAACACCGGUGGCGAAGGCGACUUUCUGGCUGACAACUGACGCUGAGGCGCGAAAGCGUGGGGAGCAAACAGAAUUAGAUACCCUGGUAGUCCACGCCGUAAACGAUGAUUACUAGGUGUAGGGGGUAUCGACUCCCUCUGUGCCACAGUUAACGCA